UACGUAGGUGGCAAGCGUUAUCCGGAUUUACUGGGUGUAAAGGGAGCGCAGGCGGUCUGGCAAGUCUGAUGUGAAAGGCCGGGGCUCAACUCCGGGACUGCAUUGGAAACUGUCAGACUGGAGUGUCGGAGAGGUAAGCGGAAUUCCUAGUGUAGCGGUGAAAUGCGUAGAUAUUAGGAGGAACACCAGUGGCGAAGGCGGCUUACUGGACGAUGACUGACGCUGAGGCUCGAAAGCGUGGGGAGCAAACAGG
Molecule: ribosomal RNA, 253 nt
Filed under: uncultured bacterium
Lineage: Bacteria
Description: partial 16S ribosomal RNA
Rfam family: Bacterial small subunit ribosomal RNA
Source: RNAcentral